This 475-nucleotide ribosomal RNA is filed under the name Pseudomonas sp. NN018592. Its description in RNAcentral is "bacterial SSU rRNA". It matches the Rfam family "Bacterial small subunit ribosomal RNA", at positions 30 to 498 of the family's 1533-position model. Lineage: Bacteria; Pseudomonadati; Pseudomonadota; Gammaproteobacteria; Pseudomonadales; Pseudomonadaceae. The record is from RNAcentral.
AUUGAACGCUGGCGGCAGGCCUAACACAUGCAAGUCGAGCGGUAGAGAGGUGCUUGCACCUCUUGAGAGCGGCGGACGGGUGAGUAAUGCCUAGGAAUCUGCCUGGUAGUGGGGGAUAACGCUCGGAAACGGACGCUAAUACCGCAUACGUCCUACGGGAGAAAGCAGGGGACCUUCGGGCCUUGCGCUAUCAGAUGAGCCUAGGUCGGAUUAGCUAGUUGGUGGGGUAAUGGCUCACCAAGGCGACGAUCCGUAACUGGUCUGAGAGGAUGAUCAGUCACACUGGAACUGAGACACGGUCCAGACUCCUACGGGAGGCAGCAGUGGGGAAUAUUGGACAAUGGGCGAAAGCCUGAUCCAGCCAUGCCGCGUGUGUGAAGAAGGUCUUCGGAUUGUAAAGCACUUUAAGUUGGGAGGAAGGGCAUUAACCUAAUACGUUAGUGUUUUGACGUUACCGACAGAAUAAGCACCGGCU